UGGGGAAUCUUGGACAAUGGGGGCAACCCUGAUCCAGCGACGCCGCGUGGGUGAUGAAGGCCUUCGGGUUGUAAAGCCCUUUCGACGGGGACGAUGAUGACGGUACCCGGCGAAGAAGCACCGGCUAACUCCGUGCCAGCAGCCGCGGUAAGACGGAGGGUGCUAGCGUUGUUCGGAAUCACUGGGCGUAAAGGGCGCGUAGGCGGCCUUUGGUGUCGGAUGUGAAAGCCCGGGGCUCAACUCCGGAGGUGCAUCCGAAACUCGAAGGCUGGAGGCCGGAAGAGGAGGGUGGAAUACCCAGUGUAGAGGUGAAAUUCGUAGAUAUUGGGUGGAACACCGGUGGCGAAAGCGGCUCUCUGGUCCGGUCCUGACGCUGAGGCGCGAAAGCGUGGGGAGCAAACAGGAUUAGAUACCCCCGUAGUCC
Molecule: ribosomal RNA, 424 nt
Filed under: uncultured prokaryote
Description: bacterial SSU rRNA
Rfam family: Bacterial small subunit ribosomal RNA
Source: RNAcentral